This 449-nucleotide ribosomal RNA is filed under the name uncultured bacterium. RNAcentral's name for it is "partial 16S ribosomal RNA". It matches the Rfam family "Bacterial small subunit ribosomal RNA", at positions 29 to 523 of the family's 1533-position model. The record is from RNAcentral.
AACGAACGCUGGCGGCAGGCUUAACACAUGCAAGUCGAACGCAUCCUUCGGGGUGAGUGGCAGACGGGUGAGUAACGCGUGGGAACGUGCCCUUCAGUUCGGGAUAACCCAGGGAAACUUGGGCUAAUACCGGAUACGUGCGAGAGCAGAAAGAUUUAUCGCUGAAGGAUCGGCCCGCGUCUGAUUAGCUAGUUGGUGGGGUAAUGGCCCACCAAGGCGACGAUCAGUAGCUGGUCUGAGAGGAUGAUCAGCCACAUUGGGACUGAGACACGGCCCAAACUCCUACGGGAGGCAGCAGUGGGGAAUAUUGGACAAUGGGCGCAAGCCUGGUCCAGCCAUGCCGCGUGAGUGAUGAAGGCCUUAGGGUUGUAAAGCUCUUUCGUCCGGGACGAUAAUGACGGUACCGGAAGAAGAAGCCCCGGCUAACUUCGUACCAGCAGCCGCGGUAA